AGCAGAGUGGUCUAGUGAAGAGGACACCAGGCUAGGAGUCAGAAGACCUGUGUUCUAAUCCUAGCUUUGCUG
RNAcentral lists this transfer RNA (72 nucleotides) under Chelonia mydas (Green sea turtle). It matches the Rfam family "tRNA". From Rfam's summary of the family: Transfer RNA (tRNA) molecules are approximately 80 nucleotides in length. Their secondary structure includes four short double-helical elements and three loops (D, anti-codon, and T loops). The record is from Rfam by way of RNAcentral. Lineage: Eukaryota; Metazoa; Chordata; Testudines; Cheloniidae.